This is a long non-coding RNA of Syngnathus acus (greater pipefish), 680 nucleotides long. RefSeq lists it as uncharacterized. NCBI's taxonomy places the organism in Eukaryota, Metazoa, Chordata, Actinopteri, Syngnathiformes, Syngnathidae. The record is from RefSeq and is a predicted model, not a curated record. The transcript has 2 exons.
CGGGGCAGAGGAGCGGGAGCUGAGCGGCGGGACCGCUCGACUCAAAGCGGCGGCGGCAUCGGCGUUCCGUGUUCGGCUGCGCCGUCCUCAUGCCGCGGAUAAAAGACGUAAUCCUGGGAGGAUCCCGAGGGGACGAUCCAGGCACCUAGCGCUGAUUACGCCGGAGGAGGAGGAGGGAGGAGGAGCUGCUGCUGCAUCAUCCCUCCUUUGGGUCGCCGCCAAAAAUUUGACAGGUCAGCGUAUUAAUGUGGGAAUUCCUCCAGUUGUGCUGUAAACACGAGUGGCCACUCAAAAGAUGAACAGUAAAGGAGAAGGGUAAAAAACAAAAAAGAUACCAAACAAUCUCCAUGACACGAACUUUGACCUUUUGAUCCGCCUGGGAUUUGGGACGUGCCGAUUGGCCGCUUGGCGCCAAAGUGCGUGCACGGUCGCACCACGGCGAGCAUUGUGUCAGGACGCCGAUGAAUUUGACGGCUGGGAGAAGCUCGGGCAGGGAGGGGAGAACUUUAGGAAGGAGGCACGACCUCACGGAUGAGAGCAAAGUCCCAGCUGCGCAAAAAUGAAAAGUCACCCGCUCUGCAAUAAAAGCGGAGCGAAGAGACUCACGUGACUUUUUCUGAACUGCCGCUUUGCGUUGUUUUGACAUCCACAUACAAUAAAUGGAUGACAUCAUAAGACCA